This 487-nucleotide unclassified non-coding RNA is filed under the name Hevea brasiliensis (rubber tree). The record is from RNAcentral. Lineage: Eukaryota; Viridiplantae; Streptophyta; Magnoliopsida; Malpighiales; Euphorbiaceae.
GCAGAAUCUCAUGUUGGUAGAUUUAAUUGUAGAUUUAAGGUUCCGUUGGUCAUUGCAAACUUUCCCUUUUUCAAACUGCUUCUCAACUUUCAUUAAAUAUUUUGUGGUUGGAAGAAAUUUCUUUUUUAUUUACUUUUGAAAAGCAAUCAAAUUCAUACUUCUCUGAAAAGAGAGUCAAACGUGUCUUUCAGAGUGCAAACCAGUCCAAUAUCAAAUGCACCCUAAUUUUGUGAAAGUUAGGAACUAGAAUUUCAGCAUAUGGGCAUAUAUGAUUUGAACUUUAACUCCAGUUUUGAAUUGAAACUUCCAGUAUCUGAUGAUUUAUAGAGGCCAUUGGAGAUAAAACUAUGAACCUGAAAGGUUGCCUUGCUAGUGUCUUAAUUGUUCCUCUGAGAGAGUUUCUUGUCAUGAGGAUAAAACUGUGCUAUAGUGUCUAAUUAUUUGGGCAAAUUUCAUACUGUUACAGGGGCAUGGUUUCCGAAAUGAG